RNAcentral lists this ribosomal RNA (492 nucleotides) under uncultured bacterium. RNAcentral describes it as "partial 16S ribosomal RNA". It matches the Rfam family "Bacterial small subunit ribosomal RNA", at positions 28 to 507 of the family's 1533-position model. The record is from RNAcentral.
GAUGAACGCUAGCUACAGGCUUAACACAUGCAAGUCGAGGGGAAACGACAUCGAAAGUUUGCUUUUGAUGGGCGUCGACCGGCGCACGGGUGAGUAACGCGUAUCCAACCUGCCCAUCACUUGGGAAUAACCUUGCGAAAGUAAGACUAAUACCCAAUGAUAUCCCACGAAGGCAUCGGAAUGGGAUUAAAGAUUUAUCGGUGAUGGAUGGGGAUGCGUCUGAUUAGCUUGUUGGCGGGGUAACGGCCCACCAAGGCAACGAUCAGUAGGGGUUCUGAGAGGAAGGUCCCCCACAUUGGAACUGAGACACGGUCCAAACUCCUACGGGAGGCAGCAGUGAGGAAUAUUGGUCAAUGGGCGAGAGCCUGAACCAGCCAAGUAGCGUGCAGGAAGACGGCCCUAUGGGUUGUAAACUGCUUUUAUAAGGGAAUAAAGUGGGUCACGUGUGACUUUUUGCAUGUACCUUAUGAAUAAGGACCGGCUAAUUCCGUG